Molecule: long non-coding RNA, 322 nt
Filed under: Bos taurus (domestic cattle)
Lineage: Eukaryota; Metazoa; Chordata; Mammalia; Artiodactyla; Bovidae
Description: long non-coding RNA NONBTAT014311
Source: RNAcentral
UUACUUGAUGGGACUUUAUUAAAGCAGAUUGAGUCGUACAUCAUAUGUUGAAAAGGCUAAGAAAGGAUCCACUGUGAUAAAAAUCCAUUAGCAGACUUCAUGUGGGCAUCACAGUGGUCAAUCUGGGUAGUCAGCAGAGAAGAUUUUUUUUCAGCAGCUUGAACUAGAGUUUGGAAAUUGGCAUCACUCCAUUGAACAAUGAAUUUCUACCUGUUCUGAAUCAAAACAAAGACAUCCAGAAUGUCUUCCAUUUGUAGUUACUGUAUAUAAUUCCAAUCUUAAGAUUUUAAUGUGUCCUUAAAUAGGUAUAGUCAUAGAGUUU